This 253-nucleotide ribosomal RNA is filed under the name uncultured bacterium. RNAcentral describes it as "partial 16S ribosomal RNA". It matches the Rfam family "Bacterial small subunit ribosomal RNA", at positions 524 to 776 of the family's 1533-position model. The record is from RNAcentral.
UACAGAGGGUGCGAGCGUUAAUCGGAAUUACUGGGCGUAAAGCGCGCGUAGGCGGCUUUGCAAGUCGGGUGUGAAAUCCCCAGGCUUAACCUGGGAACUGCAUUCGAGACUGCAUUGCUAGAGUAUGGGAGAGGGAAGUGGAAUUUCCGGUGUAGAGGUGAAAUGCGUAGAUAUCGGAAGGAACAUCAGUGGCGAAAGCGACUUCCUGGACCAAUACUGACGCUCAUGUGCGAAAGCGUGGGGAGCAAACAGG